RNAcentral lists this ribosomal RNA (585 nucleotides) under uncultured bacterium. Its description in RNAcentral is "partial 16S ribosomal RNA". It matches the Rfam family "Bacterial small subunit ribosomal RNA", at positions 355 to 1375 of the family's 1533-position model. The record is from RNAcentral.
UGGGGAAUUUUGGACAAUGGGCGAAAGCCUGAUCCAGCAAUGCCGCGUGUGUGAAGAAGGCCUUCGGGUUGUAAAGCACUUUUGUCCGGAAAGAAAUCCUUGGCUCUAAUACAGUCGGGGGAUGACGGUACCGGAAGAAUAAGCACCGGCUAACUACGUGCCAGCAGCCGCGGUAAUACGUAGGGUGCAAGCGUUAAUCGGAAUUACUGGGCGUAAAGCGUGCGCAGGCGGUUUGCUAAGACCGAUGUGAAAUCCCCGGGCUCAACCUGGGAACUGCAUUGGUGACUGGCAGGCUAGAGUAUGGCAGAGGGGGGUAGAAUUCCACGUGUAGCAGUGAAAUGCGUAGAGAUGUGGAGGAAUACCGAUGGCGAAGGCAGCCCCCUGGGCCAAUACUGACGCUCAUGCACGAAAGCGUGGGGAGCAAACAGGAUUAGAUACCCUGGUAGUCCACGCCCUAAACGAUGUCAACUAGUUGUUGGGGAUUCAUUUCCUUAGUAACGUAGCUAACGCGUGAAGUUGACCGCCUGGGAAGUACGAUCGCAAGAUUAAAACUCAAAUGAAUUGACGGGGUCAUAGCUGUUUCCU